CCAUUUACACUGGCGGCGUGCCUAACACAUGCAAGUCGAACGAGAAAGGGUAGCAAUACCUGAGUAAAGUGGCGCACGGGUGAGUAACACGUGACUAACCUACCCUGGAGUGGGGGAUAACUGAGGGAAACCUUAGCUAAUACCGCAUAACACCUACGGGUCAAAGGAGCAAUUCGCUUCAGGAGGGGGUCGCGGCCGAUUAGUUAGUUGGCGGGGUAAUGGCCCACCAAGACUGUGAUCGGUAUCCGGCCUGAGAGGGCGCACGGACACACUGGAACUGAAACACGGUCCAGACUCCUACGGGAGGCAGCAGUGGGGAAUUUUGCGCAAUGGGGGAAACCCUGACGCAGCAACGCCGCGUGGAGGAUGAAGUACUUCGGUACGUAAACUCCUUUCGAUCGGGACGAUAAUGACGGUACCGAGAGAAGAAGCCCCGGCUAACUUCGUGCCAGCAGCCGCGGUAAUACGAGGGGGGCGAGCGUUGUUCGGAAUUAUUGGGCGUAAAGGGUGCGUAGGCGGUUUGGUAAGUCUGAUGUGAAAUCUAUGGGCUCAACUCAUAGUCUGCAUCGGAAACUGCCGGGCUUGAGUAUGGGGAGAGGUGAGUGGAAUUUCCGGUGUAGCGGUGAAAAUGCCUAAAAUAUCCGAAAGGAAACACCUUGUCGGCCGAAAAGCCGGA
RNAcentral lists this ribosomal RNA (676 nucleotides) under uncultured bacterium. Its description in RNAcentral is "bacterial SSU rRNA". It matches the Rfam family "Bacterial small subunit ribosomal RNA", at positions 26 to 733 of the family's 1533-position model. The record is from RNAcentral.